Stylophora pistillata is the source of this 441-nucleotide long non-coding RNA. RefSeq lists it as uncharacterized. NCBI's taxonomy places the organism in Eukaryota, Metazoa, Cnidaria, Anthozoa, Scleractinia, Pocilloporidae. The record is from RefSeq and is a predicted model, not a curated record.
UUUUCUCUUCAGACCAGACGAGCAAGGCUAAUAAAACGAAUCGAUCAUCUUCACUCCAGAACAACGAUGGAAAAAUCCGAUAAAAUUUUUGCUUUGUUGGGUAUCUUAUUCAUCUCUUCUCUCUUGAUUGAUCAGACAACUUGUUUUGUAACCAGGCCCCAAAGGAGGGAGUUUCAGAUGAAACGUGCAACAAGGGAGAUUUGUGCUGGAGCCAGAUCGUUGAACUGCGAGGGGGUGGCAAAGAGAGAAUUUCGUGAUUAUGAUGAAAGCACAGAGUGACACGGAUCAAUGACGCGCUGCGAUAAGGAGAACCGACUUGAACCGUGUAACAACAAGAAAUUAAUAGGAUUAGUGUCCGCUUCGUUUUUGCAAAGAACAACGUCGAUAAAUUUAAAUCUAUUAAUCAUGUAAUUUAAAACGCAAUAAAUAUCUGGUAAAUGA